This 506-nucleotide ribosomal RNA is filed under the name uncultured bacterium. Its description in RNAcentral is "partial 16S ribosomal RNA". It matches the Rfam family "Bacterial small subunit ribosomal RNA", at positions 29 to 523 of the family's 1533-position model. The record is from RNAcentral.
AUUGAACGCUGGCGGCAGGCCUAACACAUGCAAGUCGAGCGGCAGCGGAAAGUAGCUUGCUACUUUGCCGGCGAGCGGCGGACGGGUGAGUAAUGUCUGGGGAUCUGCCUGAGGGAGGGGGAUAACUACUGGAAACGGUAGCCAAUACCGCAUAACGUUGCAAGACCAAAGCGGGGGACCUUCGGGCCUCACGCCAGCGGAUGAACCCAGAGGGGAUUAGCUAGUUGGUGGGGUAAUGGCUCACCUAGGCGACGAUCCCUAGCUGGUCUGAGAGGAUGACCAGCCACACUGGGACUGAGACACGGCCCAGACUCCUACGGGAGGCAGCAGUGGGGAAUAUUGCACAAUGGGCGAAAGCCUGAUGCAGCCAUGCCGCGUGUGUGAAGAAGGCCUUCGGGUUGUAAAGCACUUUCAGCGAGGAGGAAGGGUGGUGUGUUAAUAGCACACGACAUUGACGUUACUCGCAGAAGAAGCACCGGCUAACUCCGUGCCAGCCGCCGCCGUAA